GAGAGAGACGAAGCACACAAUGAAGAGCGACGGAGGGAUCCGCGUGGCGAUGGGGAUGGCGAGGGGAACUUACAAUGAUGCGAGGCUGAAUGAUGCCGUGGAGAGGCCAUGCAGACGGGGCUGCGAGCCCCUUGUGUCAGUAUCAAUCCCCCUUUGCUGCAGCGCAUUCCAUCAUCCUUUCUCACAAUUCCUCUAGGUCCCGAGUGUGACAAUGGCGGGUGUAGAUCACUGUCUUGAAGGAGAACCAGGCGCGUUAGCUUCUACGUGGUUUACUGUCAUGCGCUCAGUGAGGCAAAAUACGAGAAGCACUUGUAAAUAAAUUUUCUCGUUGAAGUGACUUCAAAUGAACAAUUAGUUAAAUAUUUCUUAUGAAAAGUAGGGUUCAGAUUCUAGCGCAGUUGGUACAGCCAACCGCCUGAAGCUCCUGAGCACCGCCUUGAUGUGUUCCAUCUCAAGGCCCAACGACUGACACCUUCAACUAGAGCUGCCAACCUCUUCAUUCGCCGUACAUCCUGGCAUCUCCGCGGCGUUGUAGCUCUGUUAAUUAGAGAUUACUAAGGCCAAUUCACGAUACCACUGCUUUUCCCAGCUGGAUUGUGCUACAAUUUGUGCCGUAUCGUUGGUGCAAUGUAAUGCCAUUUUCGGUUGAAACUUCAAAGUUACUCAGUUCUGAAAUUAAACCAA
This is a non-coding RNA of Physcomitrium patens, 684 nucleotides long. NCBI's taxonomy places the organism in Eukaryota, Viridiplantae, Streptophyta, Bryopsida, Funariales, Funariaceae. The record is from RefSeq and is a predicted model, not a curated record.